RNAcentral lists this ribosomal RNA (99 nucleotides) under uncultured bacterium. Its description in RNAcentral is "partial 16S ribosomal RNA". It matches the Rfam family "Bacterial small subunit ribosomal RNA", at positions 1384 to 1482 of the family's 1533-position model. The record is from RNAcentral.
UACACACCGCCCGUCACACCAUGGGAGUUGGCUUUACCUGAAGACGGUGCGCUAACCACAAGGAGGCAGCCGGCCACGGUAGGGUCAGCGACUGGGGUG